Molecule: ribosomal RNA, 253 nt
Filed under: uncultured bacterium
Lineage: Bacteria
Description: partial 16S ribosomal RNA
Rfam family: Bacterial small subunit ribosomal RNA
Source: RNAcentral
UACGAGGGGGGCGAGCGUUGUUCGGAAUUAUUGGGCGUAAAGGGUGCGUAGGCGGUUUGGUAAGUCUUGUGUGAAAUCUCCAGGCUCAACUUGGAGUCUGCACGAGAAACUGCCGGGCUUGAGUGUGGGAGAGGUGAGUGGAAUUCCUGGUGUAGCGGUGAAAUGCGCAGAUAUCGGGAGGAACACCGGUGGCGAAGGCGGUUCUCUGGGCCUUACCUGACGCUGAGGAGCGAAAGCGUGGGGAGCGAACAGG